CUGGCUCUGAUGUACUGAUAGCAGGUGCGAUCGUUGGGGCUCUGUUUUUCCCUCUCACUGCCGUUGUUCUGAUCACUGUCUACGUUUGCAGCGUAUUGUAAUAAGAGCCGAGCUACAUCAUCACACAGUAGACACAGGAAAUAGGUCAUCACACAAGGAGUAGGUCAUCACACAAGGAACCGAAAACACAUAAGCCUUCGCAGUUACGACACCCGAACAACGAAACGCCACACCUAACGUCAUCUUCAACGAAUAAACAGUCACCCCCCCCCCCCCUCUCUGCCGCCUUCGUCCCACACAACAGCAAAAUCAAAGACACGGAAUGCCAGUACGUCGAUGUAUGUUGGAAAAUGUAAAGGAUGGCAUACACACCCAACGUCCACAUCUACACAGAGAUUAGGCGUGUUGUGCCAUUCUGGGUCAACUAUGGCAAGCUUUACUCUGCACAUCCAUCUUCCAACCGUAGUCACUACAGAACCAAGUUUUGCUCUGUGCCACCAUUGUUAAAAUCCACGUCACUACAGAACCAAGCUUUGCUCUGUGCCACCAUU
Physella acuta is the source of this 551-nucleotide long non-coding RNA. RefSeq lists it as uncharacterized. The record is from RefSeq and is a predicted model, not a curated record. NCBI's taxonomy places the organism in Eukaryota, Metazoa, Mollusca, Gastropoda, Physidae.